GAUGAACGCUGGCGGCGCGCCUAAUACAUGCAAGUCGAGCGAACAGAUGAGGAGCUUGCUCCUCUGACGUUAGCGGCGGACGGGUGAGUAACACGUGGAUAACCUACCUAUAAGACUGGGAUAACUUCGGGAAACCGGAGCUAAUACCGGAUAAUAUAUUGAACCGCAUGGUUCAAUAGUGAAAGACGGUUUUGCUGUCACUUAUAGAUGGAUCCGCGCCGCAUUAGCUAGUUGGUAAGGUAACGGCUUACCAAGGCAACGAUGCGUAGCCGACCUGAGAGGGUGAUCGGCCACACUGGAACUGAGACACGGUCCAGACUCCUACGGGAGGCAGCAGUAGGGAAUCUUCCGCAAUGGGCGAAAGCCUGACGGAGCAACGCCGCGUGAGUGAUGAAGGUCUUCGGAUCGUAAAACUCUGUUAUUAGGGAAGAACAAAUGCGUAAGUAACUAUGCACGUCUUGACGGUACCUAAUCAGAAAGCCACGGCUAACUACGUG
RNAcentral lists this ribosomal RNA (497 nucleotides) under uncultured bacterium. RNAcentral's name for it is "partial 16S ribosomal RNA". It matches the Rfam family "Bacterial small subunit ribosomal RNA", at positions 28 to 507 of the family's 1533-position model. The record is from RNAcentral.